GUUUGAUCAUGGCUCAGAUUGAACGCUGGCGGCAGGCUUAACACAUGCAAGUCGAACGGUAACAGGAAUUAGCUUGCUAAUUUGCUGACGAGUGGCGGACGGGUGAGUAAUGCUUGGGAACUUGCCUUUGCGAGGGGGAUAACAGUUGGAAACGACUGCUAAUACCGCAUAAUGUCUUCGGACCAAACGGGGCUUAGGCUCCGGCGCAGAGAGAGGCCCAAGUGAGAUUAGCUAGUUGGUAAGGUAAAGGCUUACCAAGGCGACGAUCUCUAGCUGGUCUGAGAGGAUGAUCAGCCACACUGGAACUGAGACACGGUCCAGACUCCUACGGGAGGCAGCAGUGGGGAAUAUUGCACAAUGGGCGAAAGCCUGAUGCAGCCAUGCCGCGUGUGUGAAGAAGGCUCUAGGGUUGUAAAGCACUUUCAGAAGGGAGGAAAGGUUGUAAGUUAAUACCUUGCAACUGUGACGUUACCUUCAGAAGAAGCACCGGCUAACUCCGUGCCAGCAGCCG
Molecule: ribosomal RNA, 511 nt
Filed under: uncultured Symbiodinium
Lineage: Eukaryota; Dinophyceae; Suessiales; Symbiodiniaceae
Description: partial Bacterial small subunit ribosomal RNA
Rfam family: Bacterial small subunit ribosomal RNA
Source: RNAcentral